AGCGAACGCUGGCGGCAGGCUUAACACAUGCAAAUCGAGCGGGCACUUUCGGGUGUCCGCGGCGGACGGGUGAGUAACGCGUGGGAACGUGCCCUCUGGUUCGGAAUAACUCAGGGAAACUUGAGCUAAUACCGGAUACGCCCUUUUGGGGAAAGGCUUGCUGCCGGAGGAUCGGCCCGCGUCUGAUUAGCUAGUUGGUGAGGUAACGGCUCACCAAGGCGACGAUCAGUAGCUGGUCUGAGAGGAUGAUCAGCCACACUGGGACUGAGACACGGCCCAGACUCCUACGGGAGGCAGCAGUGGGGAAUAUUGGACAAUGGGCGCAAGCCUGAUCCAGCCAUGCCGCGUGAGUGAUCAAGGCCUUAGGGUUGUAAAGCUCUUUUAUCUGGGACGAUAAUGACGGUACCGGAGGAAUAAGCCCCGGCUAACUUCGUG
RNAcentral lists this ribosomal RNA (435 nucleotides) under uncultured bacterium. Its description in RNAcentral is "partial 16S ribosomal RNA". It matches the Rfam family "Bacterial small subunit ribosomal RNA", at positions 29 to 507 of the family's 1533-position model. The record is from RNAcentral.